This 5797-nucleotide long non-coding RNA is filed under the name Gallus gallus (chicken). The record is from RNAcentral. Lineage: Eukaryota; Metazoa; Chordata; Aves; Galliformes; Phasianidae.
CUUAUGUUCCUGAAAUAACUUAAGCAAAUGGUUUUCUAACUGUAACACACAAAGCUUGGUUUUUGCCUGUUUAUUCAUUGAUUUGCCAAAGUUAGUUGCUUGUGGUGAGUCACUUUCAGUGACUAGCAAAAUUAAAUUAGCUUUUGCUCUGUGACAGUUCUGAGAAGUUGAAAUAGUAUCUGUGCUUACCUUUGAUGUUAUAUACUUACUCUAUUACAGCAAUAUCAACAGUGCAGACUGUCCCAGCAGAAACCAACCUGUAAAAAGCAGCAGCAUGCAACAACAAAAAGCUAAGCAACCUUUCUUGAUCCCAGCUGAUAUCAACAAUAUCCUAAUGUGGCUAGCAGCUUCCAAUAACCCUUCUUCACUGAAGUUUAUUUCUCUCAUUACUACACAGUACUUGCUUGAUUAGCUUUUAAGGGGCAGUACUAGAAGCCAUAGUUGAUGUUAUUCUGUUGUAUCUAAAUUAAGACACUUCUGAUUCUUAUAAAUAUUUUUCUUGCAUUCCUGUUAUGCCUGAAGCUGGAAGGACUUCUCUCUGAUCAAGAAAAAUAGCAGCAGCAUGGCGACUGAAAUGUCUGAAUGACUGCUGGUAGAACAAACAUUAUUACAACAAAGGCAUUGAGCUCCGUCUCCAAAGAACUCAAAUAAGCUGAAAAAGAUCCGGUUUGUGUAAUCUGGUCAUUCUACUAGGGAAAAAAAGCAACAUGGUUGAUAGUAGAGCUGUAUGAAAAGUGAAUAUAUUACUGAGAAUAAAAUGUAUCUGUCAGUAUCUGUAAGAAACCUGUAAGAACAAAGAUUGUUUUUAAAUCACAGAAAAAAAGUAAUAACAAAUAAACAGAAUACUUGCCUUCCAGGGUAUUAAAAAAAAAAAAAAAAAAAAAAGGUUUUCUAUUCUCAGGAGGAUUAAUAAUUGACAUGUAGCAGCUCUUGUGGUUGAACAGUCACUAAGCAGAUGGAUAGAUAUUAUUCCCUCUCAUAUAUUUACUAACGGAAAGUUCUUAGAACAGGCAUUGACAUAGUAUGAAUUACUUUAUGCUCUUGAGAUUUUUAGUUCCAUAAAUAUUUUUGGCAGCCUGGCUGAGGGCAUCUGGCCUUUAUUUCAUACUUUUAAAGCAUACUUUUUACAUUUCCCACAGAGCAACACACUGAAAUCACAAACCACAACUGUUGCCUCUUCUCUGAGAACAUGGCUUAUCUUGCUGAAGAAAUAUGUUAUAUAAAAUCUUCUUGCCUGUAUAGUGUAUAUGAUAUAGUGAUUAUGCUAUAUAUGAUAGUAUAAUUACACACCUAUACUAAAGGUAGCAGUUCUGCAAUUAAUUUUUAUUCAAGAGUAAUAGGAAGAGUACAACUUACUGGUUUUAAGAUAACAUUUACAGUUGCUUUGGGAACCUUCGAUGACAAGAUGACAGGACUGAUCAUUAACAUGCUGUUUACAAACACAGACUACAUCUGUGUUCUCUGAAAAGAACAUAGGAUCUGGGAUCAGACUCAAGUAAGUUUCACAUUUGCAGCUGAGAACAGAUACCUCUACCUAUAAAGAAUAACUAAUGGCAUAGAUACUUCCAUGUAUGGGAACUAUUGAAUCAUGGCCUGAACCACUGAUGGAGCACCUGGGGAAAGGACCUGGUCAGUUCUGAGAGCACAGGUGAAGGCAAUUCACUUGUGUGACUGAAAGGGGUGGAGCCUGGCUGCACUUCUCUUAGACCUCAUUUAAGGGCUGACUUCCACUAGGUAAGGGUAUUAUUCUGGAUCUCAGGGAGUCCUGGUGAAGCUUUCUCCUGUGAACCUGAGAUCUGGGUGAGCAAUCUUCUUUUCCUUUAUAGCACCUCUCUAUUGUGCUAGCCAUCACACCUUUGUUGUAACGCCUUUCCCAUUUUAUUGAUCUGUCCAAUUGCUACACUCCCCUGCUCCAGCUUUUCUUUUAUGCCUGAGCUUAAAAAAAAAAAAAAAUCUUUGUUUUAACAGACUGUCCUGGAAGGCUUCCUGUUGCACACAGGAGUGCCUGGAUCACAGGGUCUUUCUGAUGUUAGUAAUCACUGUACGAAUUUUAUUUUGCUCCAUGCUGAAAGCCCUCUACUCAAGCAAGGUCACUUUUGCCUGAGCAAAAGCCUCACAUUUCAGUGUACUACAGAUAAUUCUUCACGAUCCAGAGACUGAAAGAAACAACUGAAAUCUCCUCCAUAGUCCAGGGAAUGGCUUUAUGUUCUUCUGGCCAAAUAGGGCGGAGGUCUGACUCCUGUCUGGAUGAAGAAUUCUGCUCAGCAAACAUUUCUGGAUCUGCAUGCAUUAGCUGAUGGAUGGAGCUAUCCAGCAACAUUUUGACCUCUCAACAUUUGAAUCAUUUUGUUCUCUGCAUGUGAUGCAGGUGACGUUUCUGAGGCACCUUCAUACUUUUCGAGGAGAUCAGAAGAGAUCAAAAUGUACUCAGAAAUGAACACUGAUGAUCCUCUGCAAUUUCCUGGUGUUAUCAGCUGGGGCUAGAAGAGAAAGCAUUACCAGUUGUGAUACUUGGACUAACAUUACAAUAAUCAGCAAAGCUGGCUCUACCUGUGCCUGAAGCUAGGAAAUUUCUAGCUGUCUUAGUUUUCACUGGGAAGGUAUUGUUUUCUUCAGACUGUCUGGUAUGUGGUAAGUUUUAGUUCUAGGAGAAAAAUGAUGUUGAUAACACACUGAUGUUUAUAUUUGCUGUGAAGCAGCGUUGUACAGUGCCAAGGCCAUUCUCAGCAAAGGGCCCAAGGAGCUGGGAGGGAACAGAAUUAGGAGAGCUAACCAAAACUGCCCAAAGGGAUAUUCCAUGCCAUAUGAUAUCAUGCAGAAGGAGUUUUGAGGUGGGUGGGAUUCAUUGGGCUCUCUUGCUGUUCAAGGGGCUAGCUGGGCAUAGGUCAGGGUGUGAUGAGAAAUUGCUUAUGCAUCACUUGUUAAAUAUAUAUAUUUGUCAUAAUUAUUAUCCUUUUUAUUUUCUCUAUCUUAGUAAAUAGUUUUAUCUCAAUCCAUGAGUUCCACUUUGUAUUUUUUUUAUUCUUUCCCCCAUCACGUUGGGAAGGUUGGUAGUGAGCAAAUGACUAUAGUGCUCAGCCACCUGCCAGGUUAAACCAUACCACCAGCUUUUCAGAUUUUACCUUUUACCUUCAACCUAGAAGCAAAAAGAACUGAAACAAACAAACAAACAACAACAACAAACACAAGCAUUUCAUAAAUAUAUACAUAUGCAACUUGUAUAUCUCAUUUUGCUGUGUUCACUUCUGAACAAGCUCAGCAAUCACAGCUGGCUUUGCUAAAGGGGUUUUAUAACAGGACUAUUUAUUUCCUCUCUUGUAUCCACAAAAGCUAUUACAGAUAUACCUUUUCUUUCUUUUUUUUCCAAGAUGCAUAGAGUGUCUUCCCUCAUGAGGGAAGUAGACCAGCUGUAAAGAAGAACACCAUGUUGUGGCUCAUGUAGAAAACUGUGUUGUUUGAAAAAGCCUGCAUAUUUCUUCAGUCGUUAAAGAUAAAGCAAGAAUGGGAAAAGACAUGAAGGAAAGGAAAGCAGAAAGAAAAUCAGAGGAAGAAAUGUGAUGAUUGUACAGUGAAUGUAUAUUGGCAGAUUGAAAAAAUUGGGGCUCAGUGCUCAUGCAGUGAGAAAUGAGAAUGAAGUUUCAAACUGAUUGUAAGAGCAAUGCAAUUGUAAGAGCUUUACCAAUCUUUCCCUAGGUUUCAAGCUGGGAUUGACACUGCACACUGAAUCAAGAUUAGGUAGGGAACAGAGAGAUGCCAGAGACACACAGAUACCCUGCAUAGCCUCCUGAGGCUGGGAGGAGAUGCAUGCCUCAUGUAUGCAAGGAUGUAAAUGCGUGUGUGCUCUUUGCAGGAUCCUAAUACGCUGUGCCAGCUCUGCUGGGGAGCUGAAGGUUGGAGAAAGCCCAGAAAAUGUGAGGGGAGAUAGUCACUGCCUUAGGAAACAGAUUCAGGUCUCUUCAUUGAUGGUUUAUGAGAUGCUGCAGGUACUGUCAGCCACACAAGAGAGCCAGGAGGUUGGUGAGCAUCCAAGGCAAUACAAAUGCUGGAUACUGCUGAAGUUUCCCUUGGGGAAUAACGUCAGAAACGUUAUUUGUCAGAACCAGUCCUGAGGGCAUUUGUGAGCAAGGAAUGUAAGGGAUAAACAUUCUGGCUUCUACAAUACUAAAGAUGUAGCUGUGUUGCCUCUGGAUUUGCUCCCAGACAGAGUAACGUUAUUUUGUCUCCUAUUUCAUGGCAGUGCCAUGAUUUAGUCCUUCAUUAUGUGGCCUGGUGACAGAGGAAGAUCUGUGAUUACAUUUUGGAACAUCUAGUGAAGAGGAAGUGUUGCGGUCAGAGCUAAGGGCUGAGCUGUGCACGCAGCAGCCAUCACCCAGCCCCUCUGGAAGGGGAGCAUUGCACCGUUCGGCUGAGCUCACUGUGGGGUGCAGGACGUGCAGCCACACUGAAGAGAGGGGUUAGAGAGCACUGGUUUCCAAAUCUCCUUUCCUGACUCAGUGCUGGAUCAUGAGCCCCAUGUGUCAUCAGUGGGAAAUGUCAAGCCUCUGAGAUCAAUUGGGCAUGAUCAGAAUGAUGACUGGAUUGUCUAGGGACAAUGUCAAUGUAUCAUAAGAACCUGUCACACAUGAAAACAAAAAAUUCCUGCCUUGAGGCACUGUUCCUCAACAAUGUCUAGCUCACAUGAUGCCAGAUUUCAACAAAAACAGAUUCUAAUACACCCCCUAGGCACCCACAAAUUUUCACUGUAUUUGAAAUAAGCAAUUGAUUUUAUAGCACCUUAAAAGAUCGUUAAUUACAGCAAAGCUUCUCUCUGCAUGUGGCAACAGUGGACCGACCUAAGUUAAGUGACGGUAGUGACAUCAAAGUAAAUUUAAAAGCAGUAAGAGAACAAAUGACUUUGGCUUUUACUCUUACUAUUAUAUAUGGGGUAAAUUCUACACAGAGCAAAUUGCCAUCCAUUAAUUCAAACACCAGCCUUUCAUGCAUAACCAGUCUGUGAGAUAUUUUCUCCUUUGAUUAGCUAUUUGCUCUCUUAAUCUCCAGGAGAAAAAGAGAAAGAAAGAAAGAAAGGAAGAAAAAAAAAGAACAGACACUAUGUUUCAACCUUCUGCUCAAAUAAAGCAUGCUUCCAGGCAACGCGAUCCGACUUUCUUCUCUCUGCAUCAUGACACAGCAAACGGAUAUCAAAACGACAACCUGAUAAUUGUCUUGAGCUGUUGUGAUAGCUGAUGAAUAUAAAUAAGUAGCCACAAGCAUGCUUUGGAGCACUUUUUUGAAAAAAUAUCUUGCAAUACAUGAAACAAAUAUUUUAUCAGUAUUUUCUGCACCAGAAAAACACCUGGUUCCGGGGUGUUCCUGGCGGCCCCACACAGCACCACAUGGCCACGGCCUGCCUCCUUUUAACUCAUUCUCCUCACUCAACGUAUUUCUUACUUGACUGGAUUUAUGUUGCUUUUAAGGAUUUAUAAGGAAGAUCCAAAUCUAUUUAAAGUUGUUUCUUCAACUCCGUUCCUUUUUGCAGAGGUACGUAUUUACCCUAGCUCCACUGGAAAAAUGACACAGUCAAAAUAACACACACAGAAAAUUGUGCCAUUUAUAAUUACCCCCCAGUUCUGUCAGUUGAGAAGUAUCCUGCACAAUUUACUGCCUACUGAGAUGCAAUCAAAAUUAAAUGGGUGGAAAUAACUCUGAAGUGGCAGCUUCAAGCUCCACCAAAGGAGUGCAGGGUCUUAUUUUUACAACAACACAGAAAGUCGCCUUCUGGGUCAAACUCAUUGUCUGUUUUGCCUCCAGCUGCAGC